GGGGGCGACCUGGCUUCGACGUGGGUUGCGAAACCUGAAGUGCAUGCCGAGAAUGAGAUCUCUCGUAAAUAAGGCUCACUAAAUAUAAAUGCAAAUGAUGAAAACUUUGCUGGUGUUGAGGGAGAAGCUAUCGCUGCGUAAGCAUUGAUGGUUUUACCAAAAACAUCACUGUGCGCUGCCAAAAACCAGCGCCCCGUUGACCGAGCUCGCUUGUCGGUAUCGAAUCAACGGUCAUAGAAGAUAAGCUAGUCUUUUGAUUUGUCCCGCAUCAAAGGGCGAAAUUCAGGGAAUCGCCGUGUAUCAUCCUGCCAGUCGGAGGGUCCACGGUCAGAAUAAUAGACCAGGCUAAGCAUGUAGAGCUGAUGGCAGAGGAUUUGCGGACGCGGGUUCGAUUCCCGCCGCCUCCACCA
This 410-nucleotide transfer-messenger RNA is filed under the name Legionellaceae. Its description in RNAcentral is "Legionella_A oakridgensis Standard tmRNA". It matches the Rfam family "transfer-messenger RNA". Rfam says of the family: Bacterial tmRNA, also known as 10Sa RNA or SsrA, is named for its dual tRNA and mRNA-like properties. Its role is to liberate the mRNA from a stalled ribosome. The record is from RNAcentral. Lineage: Bacteria; Pseudomonadati; Pseudomonadota; Gammaproteobacteria; Legionellales. RNAcentral also lists the same sequence under 2 other names.